UGCCACUCUUAACGGGGUGUCUUUUCAGAAGUGUAAAAAGCUUCUGGAAUAAGGUCUGGGCAAGACCGGUGCCACCCGCCGCGGUAACACCGGCAUCUCAAGUGGUACCCGCUUUUAUUGGGCCUAAAGCGUCCGUACCCGGUCUGAUAAGUCUCUGGUGAAAUCCCACAGCUUAACUGUGGGAAUUGCCGGAGAUACUAUCAUGACUCGAGGUCGGGAGAGGCUGGAGGUACUCCCA
Molecule: ribosomal RNA, 238 nt
Filed under: uncultured Methanothermobacter sp.
Lineage: Archaea; Methanobacteriati; Methanobacteriota; Methanobacteria; Methanobacteriales; Methanobacteriaceae
Description: partial 16S ribosomal RNA
Rfam family: Archaeal small subunit ribosomal RNA
Source: RNAcentral